AUGAGUAAGCCCCAGUGAAGUAUCUGCUGUUUCCCAAAACAAAAUGUACAUCAGGCUUCGAGGACAGAUUGUACCGGCAGCUGUUACAAGAUGCUGCCUGACAAGUCACACAGAACCGUAUUCCCGAAUACUCGCUUCUAGAGGGAAGCACGUUCAGAACAGGGGGUGUAAGGCAGCCAGAAGCACAACAACAGGAGGGAAAGGUUCUGCAACAUUGAAUUGUGGCUGGAAGAAAUCAUCAUGAUGUUCUGGGACUGAUGGAUGUGAAAAAGAGAAAGUGAACAAUUUCAAACAAGAAGACAUCACCUGUCAAAUGGAAGUCACAGAGAUGGGUCACCUGCUUAAAACCCCCAUGAGCCACAGAGGAGAGUGCCAACCACAAAAAAAAACUACCUACAAAUCUCUGGUUGUUCCAGAUCUCCCCCGAUGGAAUCAGCUCUUUGUCAGAGGUCACUGGACAUAGACUAAUAGUGAUCAGCUGAUCACUGUAGUGGUUCUCAUUUUAAAGGGGUUGUCUGAUCUCAUCUCUGCUGCUGCUGUCUGCUCAUGCUUCCGAGAUUGCUGGGAUCAGGGACCGGAUAUCUGCUUCUGUGUCUAACAGCUCCCAAGCUAAAGCACUAUGCCUGCAACUUUCUAGAUAUAAUGAAUGUGCUGAGAUAAGCCCGAGCAAGGAGUGCAGGGAGCCUGAUGUGCAAUCAACUCAGGAGCUCCUGGCCACUCUGGGACCUAGAUCACCACUGCUUCUGAAGCAGAGCUGGUGGACGGGAACUAUGAUUACCAGCUGUCUAAAAGAGGGGAGAUAAGAAGAGGUAUCUACAGAACCAGGCAAGUUUGCUACCUGAAGCCAACUACAAACCUGUUUAAACUGGCAUGCUCUACCGUGUUUCCCCGAAAAUAAACACUACCCCGAAAGUAAGCCCUAGCA
This is a long non-coding RNA of Hyla sarda, 925 nucleotides long. RefSeq lists it as uncharacterized. NCBI's taxonomy places the organism in Eukaryota, Metazoa, Chordata, Amphibia, Anura, Hylidae. The transcript has 3 exons. The record is from RefSeq and is a predicted model, not a curated record.